UACGGAGGGUGCAAGCGUUAUCCGGAUUCACUGGGUUUAAAGGGAGCGUAGGUGGGAUGGUAAGUCAGUGGUGAAAGCUCCGGGCUUAACUCGGAAACUGCCGUUGAUACUAUCAUUCUUGAAUAUUGUGGAGGUAAGCGGAAUAUGUCAUGUAGCGGUGAAAUGCUUAGAUAUGACAUAGAACACCAAUAGCGAAGGCAGCUUGCUGCACAAUUAUUGACACUGAGGCUCGAAAGCGUGGGGAUCAAACAGG
RNAcentral lists this ribosomal RNA (253 nucleotides) under uncultured bacterium. Its description in RNAcentral is "partial 16S ribosomal RNA". It matches the Rfam family "Bacterial small subunit ribosomal RNA", at positions 524 to 776 of the family's 1533-position model. The record is from RNAcentral.